Molecule: long non-coding RNA, 1773 nt
Filed under: Homo sapiens (human)
Lineage: Eukaryota; Metazoa; Chordata; Mammalia; Primates; Hominidae
Description: non-protein coding lnc-BTC-5:6
Source: RNAcentral
AAAUGGGCAAAUGUGCCAAUGACUGAGAGUCAACUCUCCUUGGAACAGCGCAUGUCUCUCUCAUGAAGAUGACAGAGGACAAAAGCAAGCAGAAAUAUACAAGGAUUUGCGUACUCUAUUAUGAAUUUCUCUUUGAGAAAUAAUACCUGUGAGAAUGCUGCUCCUUCAAUUAGGUUCAGGAUUGGAGGAAAAAUCAUAUAAAAUAGUUGGUAAUCUUUCUUCUCUAGAAAGUGGCAACGAUAUAUAGUACUGUUGAACCAUGCCUGCCAGUGUCAAUUCCUGAAAUGGCAAAAGAAAAGGGAAGAAGAAAAGAUAAUGCUAUAAUGAUCAGCUCCCAAACCUCUACUUAAAGCAUAAAUGGAGAAAAGAAAGCUCGGUGUAGUGCUACGGAACACUAUUCGGCAUUAAGCAGAGUAAAUAGCUUAGUCAACAGUGUGGGCCAUUGUCAGUCUUUAUUUGUCAUCUCUCACUGAGUGAUCACAACUCAGCCUCUUAUGUGUCCUGGAAGUGUCCAAUCUCCAAGUUAACUAUUUAUUAAGAGGAGAUGCAUCUUAAAAGUAAUGCCUCAUAUUUAGGGGAAUUAUAUUAAAGAUAUCUCAUUUUGUCAACCCUGCUAUUCGUUCCAUCCUUUCCAUGUAACACUAAUAAGAGGACACUCUACUGCACUGGUGUCUCAUCUGUGAUGAUUCAAAUGUUCUGUUUUCUUCAUGAUACUGUGUUGUAGACAAAAUUAUAAAGCAAGUAAAUUUGUGGGAGUUUUGGCAAUCGUAGAAAGCCAGUAAAGAAAAAUUUUCUAAGCCAUUUGAAUUAUAACAAAUUACACACAUAUUAAAGCUACACAAAUAAAAUAACUUUAUUUGGGUAUUUGGAUUGCAGGCUCUUGAAAAAUUUCAAAUUUGUCAGUCUUCCAAGUUGCAUAAAAGGCAUAAAAGUCUUUUUUAUUUAAUGUAGUGCUAUAAUUCUCCAGCUGAUAGAAUCAAAGCGUAAUUGCCUAAAUGUAUUUUCUAGUCAGUGUUGAAUCUCUGCCUAAUUUUCACAAUUAUUAGCCCUAAAUGACAAUACCAGUUGAUACAGUCUCAGGGAAUCCAAGCUAAUUUUAAUGUUCAUUCAAGCAAGACAGAAUCAUGAAGGUAUUCUCUUGGGGAAAAAUUCCUAUUAAUACAUUAUAAAAGCAAAUUGUGAGCUCUAAUUGUCAUGAUUUUGAGUUUAGUGUGCAAUGCUGCUCUCCUCUAUUAGCAGAUGAUGAAAAACUUCAUUGAAAAUGAAUGUGCAUGUGUACUUCACCUGAAAAUAAAAACAAUGUGUGUGUUUCUGAAAGUAUAUUAAAAUUAUAUUAGAGAUGAUUAACAACAAAUUGGAACUUAGACAGCUCCCACAAAGUAAUAUCAUUGUAAUCAUAUCUAUUUUGUAAAGGUCCCCUUUGUAGAGAAUAAAACAAAUUAGGUGUGUGUUACAGGUUGAAUUAUGUUCUCUCCCAAAAUUCCUAUGUUGACGUUUUAACCCCAGGUACCUUAGAAUGUGAAACCUUGUUUAGAAAUAGUGCUUGUUGUUGAAGAUGUAUUUAGUUAAGUUAGGAUGAAGUCAUAUUAGAAUAAAGUGGCCCCCUAAUCCUAUAUGACCGGUGCACUUAUAAAAGGAGGAAAAUAUCCAUUCUUCAGUCCAUGGGUCAAGAAAUAAUUCUGCCUUUCAUAUCCUAUUACUUAAGAAAUACAUUUCUUAAUGCUAUAGCUGACAUAGAUAGUGAUUCCUCUUAUGGAUCUGGGUAAAGUACAU